GACGUAGGAGGCGAGCGUUGUCCGGAUUCAUUGGGCGUAAAGAGCGCGCAGGCGGCUUGGUAAGUCGGAUGUGAAAUCCCGAGGCUCAACCUCGGGUCUGCAUCCGAUACUGCCCGGCUAGAGGUAGGUAGGGGAGAUCGGAAUUCCUGGUGUAGCGGUGGAAUGCGCAGAUAUCAGGAGGAACACCGAUGGCGAAGGCAGCUCGCUGGGACGGUACUGACGCUGAGGCGCGAAAGCGUGGGGAGCGAACAGG
Molecule: ribosomal RNA, 253 nt
Filed under: uncultured bacterium
Lineage: Bacteria
Description: partial 16S ribosomal RNA
Rfam family: Bacterial small subunit ribosomal RNA
Source: RNAcentral